This 706-nucleotide long non-coding RNA is filed under the name Ananas comosus (pineapple). Its description in RNAcentral is "long non-coding RNA (ACOM_LNC013597)". Lineage: Eukaryota; Viridiplantae; Streptophyta; Magnoliopsida; Poales; Bromeliaceae. The record is from RNAcentral.
AUAACCAUGUAACUUACGCGUAUUAUCUCGUAAAGUAAAGAUCUAGUUCACUAAUACUAAUAACUUAUUGGAUCUAAACCAUUGGCCUAAAAAUACUUUAGCCUAAUUAUUGUGGUUUAGACUUUGAAAUUCUCUUCGUGUCCUAUUUAUAGUUAUUUUUUUUUCUAACCUAAAACCAUCACGUGAUGUGAUAUUUGUAUUUAAAUCUUGACGUCCUCAUCAAAUUUUUAUUCUCUUGUCAUUUUCUAGUUCAAAAUCAUCAGGUAAUGUAAGAACUAUUUCGCACUUUGACUAUAACUAGUAAAAUUUUUUAUAUCAAAUGUAACAAUCCAGUGGACUAGUAAUAAUAACUCGUUCGAUCCAAACCAACCUUCUUGUCAGGUCCCAUCUAUAGUUAUUUCUUAACCCAAGAUCAUCACGCCGUGAGAUCCGUAUGUAGACCCUAACAUCUUGGUCGGGUUCUGUUCCUUAUCAUUUUCUAGCUCAAGAUUAUCAGGCAAUGUAAUAACUAUUUUGCUGGAACUGAUAAAUUUGCUUUGAUAUCAAAUGUAACAAUCCAGUGGGAUUAGCAAUAGUAACUCGUUAGUCCUAAACAAGUAGCUCAAAAUUAUUUUUGUCUAAUUAUUAUUACUAGCAUUCUUAAUCCUUCUAUUUCCAAUCAUAUCCUUUUUCCUAUUUGAUAUAGGACGAUAUCACAUCUAUGGUU